GAUCAUGGCUCAGGAUGAACGCUGGCGGCGUGCUUAACACAUGCAAGUCGAACGAGAAAUACUUUAUUGAAACUUCGGUGGAUUUAAUUUAUUUCUAGUGGCGGACGGGUGAGUAACGCGUGGGUAACCUGCCUUAUACUGGGGGAUAACAGCCAGAAAUGGCUGCUAAUACCGCAUAAGCGCACAGAACCGCAUGGUUCGGUGUGAAAAACUCCGGUGGUAUAAGAUGGACCCGCGUUGGAUUAGCUAGUUGG
RNAcentral lists this ribosomal RNA (254 nucleotides) under uncultured bacterium. RNAcentral's name for it is "partial 16S ribosomal RNA". It matches the Rfam family "Bacterial small subunit ribosomal RNA", at positions 15 to 252 of the family's 1533-position model. The record is from RNAcentral.